AUUUGAGUAUUGAUUUUGGGUUCUUGCUCCAACGGUUUGAAACUGAGGUUUUCAGCAUGUAAAUAUAAGUUAAUUAGCUGUGAAUGAACCUCCUUAGAUCAGGGAUAAGCUAUUUUAAAGCUUGAUUGAGUAGCCUAGUUCAUUAUGAAGCGAAUUUGGAGUUAAACGUGAGUUUUUGUCGCAACUUGAUACGGUUUGAGCUUUUCUUUUCGCAGCAGGUUUGCGAAUCAUAUUAAGCUAUCUGGGUGACCUGGGAGGCUGGUUUAGAAGGUACUCUGACCUAAGGUAAGCAAGAAUUUCAGUUAGGAAGCUGAAAUUGCAAGAUUCAGACUAAAGUUGCUAAUAUAUGAUGAGUUUGAUGCCGUUUCGAUUUCGUUCGCAGCGAGAGUGCGAUCGAGCCUUGGAUCAUCGUUAGUUAACUUGUGAGAGCUCUUGGAGACUUAUCUUGAGGUAUUACACUAGUCCCAAAACAGGGAUUUAAGGGGUUACUGUGUACUAAGUGUAAUUUAGGCCGAAAUCGGAUAUUCCGGUCGUUAUUUUGACGCGGUGUUGAUGUUUGUGUUCAGCAGGAUUGAGACCGAGUGGAGCUGAUCCUUGGGACUCCUUAGACUGAUUUGGAGCUUCAUAAUAGGUGGGUCGGACCUAACCAGAGCAAGUGGAGCUCCCCUAUGUUCUAUAUGUAUCUAUAGAAUAGCAUAACCGCAUAGGUGCAUUGAGUGCAUAUGUGAUUGAUAGAGAAUUGGGAACAUAUCAUCGUGAUGUGUGACGCUUAAGUAGAAUGAAAUCUCUAUAAAGUAGAGAACAUAUAUACAUGAAAGUAUUUAUAUUCAUAUUCAAUACAGUUAGAGAACAAUGAUAUUCUCUUGACUCUAACGUAGAAAAUUAUGACAUGCUCAUGACUAUGUUGAUAGUGCCAUACUAAUGGAAAGAUUAUAAUGCCAUGUGAUUUAACUUUACCCUUACAUGUUUACAAUCUAGUGGAUACUAGCUCUUGUUACUAUUUGUGUAUUGAAAUUCCGAUCAGAGGAUCGAGGGUAAGAACCUUACAAUGAAAAUAUGAAAAUUGAGACAUGUGGAUAAUGGACUUUGCUUGCUUGCCAUCGUGCUCAUUCGCACACGCUUGUGAGGGUAGCUCCCUACAAGCCGGCACUCCGGAGUUGGCCUACGCGACAGUUGCUCGCCCGUGCGGGAUUGGGUGCCGAAGUGGAUUGCCGUGGGGAGUGUAUACUACCACGGGGCCAUUAGGCGCGGCGCAAGCUGGACUACCUUGAGUAGGUCCUAGUGAAUGAAAAUGAAAGUGAAAAUGAUAAUGAUAGUAAUGAAUGAGUAUCAGUUGUAGUGUACAGUAGUACUUACACUUCUGUGAUUAUGUUUAUGUUCAUGUUUAUAGUAGUUGCGAUACUUCUAUUAUUCAGUUGAUUCAUUACUGCAGAAAUCAUGUUUACAUGUUGAAUACAUGCCUGUUACCGGUUAGCACUGCAUAUUUCUAUAUCAUGCACUUAUCACUUUUACUUACUUUCAGUACAUUAUGAGCCUAGUGGUGUAAUUCGCCGAGGCUGGCGGCUUACCCACUGGGAACUAUUGUUAAUAGUUCUCAUGCCCUUUUUAUGGUUGUUUUUACAGAGCCAUCUGCAGGAGAGGCUAGGGAUCGUGGCAAGGGAGUCGCGUCUAGCUAGACCUUGCUAGAAGCGUGCUAGUCGAUCACCUUGCUACUCUGGCUACGGCCGAGGGUGAUGUCCUUUGUAUAGAGAGACCACCAUUGUACCUAUUUUGUAUUCUCCGUGCUGUAUAUUUACUGUUGAUCCCGAUGUUUUUGUUGUGAUACUUGCUCUUUAGUCGAGAUUUUGGAUUGUACACUCUUUGUUCUUUUACUGACAGUAUAUCGAUUUGUGCAUUGCUCUGAUAUCAGGAUAGGACUCUCUUUGUUUUAUUUCCUAUCGACUGGCUUUCUUCGUAGACGUCUUAUAUACUGCAGGUGUAUGGCGGGUCUGUGCACGUGCCGGAUAUGCUUCCGGUGGUACCCGGGCGUGACAUGAGUCAAUCAUUCGCGGAGUACCGCGCAAAGGCAGGCUCGAGGCGAAGGACGUCUCACUUGCACCUCAGCCUUAAGUCCACUCAACUAGGAUAUUAUUAUAGCUCAUAAGUUUAUUACCCAAUCACUUGGCUAACCCAAAGGUUUCGCACUCAACAAACUCACCAACUCAAAAUCCCAAUAAUCGGGGAGAUGCUCGCUACACCCGAUGGGACCGUCCUCUGGGGAGAUACUCGCUACAACCCAGUGAUGUCGACUCCGGAGCACAUCGCCCCAGGGGAAGCUACCACAACCUCGAGCAAGGACUAAAGGUGAGUAUGAUCAAUGAUCAAAUCCAAAAUCUUGAGGAUGUCAAGUUCAAUCCAUUCCUUAACUUUAGGAAGACUAUGCUCAAAUGACCCUAACUCUAGGGUUGAAAUGUCAUAAUAUUUCCAUCAUUCCUUUCUUUGCAUUCUUUACUAUCACUUGUGUCAUAUACACUGCUAUAUUCUUGGACUCAUGCCAUAUUUGUUUUCUAAGUGUUCAACAUACCAUAAGUGUUUCCACUAUACUAAUCGUAUGCCACUCGAUCUAAUAUAUAUAGAUUGUCCACGUCACAUGUCAUAGUUCAUAUGUCAUUGUUUUUCAAUGUCGAGUUCUCUAAUUCACCUAGAGUUUAUCGAUCCAAGUUCAACAUGCAUGUGUCAUUUAACAUAAUCCACAAUAUGUCAAUAUACAUCCAUCUAGUAUAUUCUACAAUAAAUCAACAUGCACUCAUUCAUCAUAUUCCACAAUAUGUCUACAUAUAUAUGCCAACCAUUCAUAUGCCAUCCAACAUGUUCCAUAAUUUAUCAACAUGCAUAUUACCUCUAACAUAUUACUAUAACAUUAUUUUCAUGCAUUCAUGUAACAAUUAACUCAUGCAUUCAUUUAGCAUUAUUUAACUUGCAUCUUAUCAUUAUGCAUUUCUACUUGGCAUUUACAUUAACAUGCAUCAUUUUCAUACUUCAUUUACAUCUAUAUGCAUCAACAUGGAUUCUUAAUUUGCAUAGACAUAAAGGCGACCUAGUCGCUUCGGUAAGCACAACCCACCUUAACUCGCGUUCCGAUUGCUUGUAGUCACUUGCAAUCGGCCUCCCGCAGCACCCGGCACCCGGUUUGGCCCGAUCUCUCGCGCGACCACCCGAACGGCCUCUAAUCCACGAUCCGAAAAUUAAGGGUCUUCGGUUAUGUGCCACGAUACUUCAAAUCUAUUUCCACGAUUUUACGAUGUCGCCUCGGCCCUCCCGGCGGACCCGAAGCCUAAACGUCCAUUUCUUUAAUAACUUUGUAACGGCUUGUCGGAUUGCCGAACCGUCUUCGCCAACGCGUUCGUUUACCUAGCAAUUUGGUUUACGGAGGGUCAAAUGAGAUCAAACCCAUAUAUUUUACAAAACUCCAUUUGGAGCCCUAACAUACAAUUAACCUCUACAUAGUCCAAAUUAAAUAGAGAGAGCAUGUUUAGAAUACUCAUUAGAGGCUAUUAGAACACUUAGAACUAAGGAUUAAGCCAAAUUCUAAAAGCUUACCUCAAUGUGAACGCCGCGACGAAAACACGCCGCUCCAACGGGCGCACGAAAGCUCAAUCCGUCGCCUCCAACGCGUUCGCAAGCAUCUUCUCCACCAACCCUGCGAAUUUGAGCGAGAGAUAUAGAGAGAUAAGAGAGAAAUCUAGAGAGAGAAAGGGAGCUUUCUCUCUCCCCACCAUGUAUGCGGGUUGGUGGUGGCGUGUAUGGUGGUCGGCUGAAGGAGAAGAAGCAAAAGCUUCUUUAUACAUUACACCCCAAAACACUAUUCACUCCAGGACAAUUUAGCAGUUCGGAACAGUUGGAGCCCUUCUGGAUGUCCGUUUGGGCUCAAAUUUGACAGACAGGCUCGGUUUAACGUACUGAGUAAGAAUAUAUCUUAAGUUUUCAGUUUCGAUCUCGUUUGGUCACUGAAAACUGUACCGAACUGUAAUCUUUAUCAGAUAGCCGUCGGAUUUUAUUUCUAACUCUACGGGUGUCAGAAAAAUAUGAAACUUCAAAUCUAGCCUCAUAAAAAUAUUUCUGAUUUAUUCUUCAAUUUUCAUAAUUUUCUGAGACUGUGCAUUUUCUGCUAAUUUAUCUGUCCCGUUUUCAACAGAAAAUUCUAAAUCUUCUGUUUUCAUUCCGAUUUCAGCACAAGUCACUUCUGACUUAUGUUUUACUUCUACAAAUCCAAUAAAAAUAGUUUCUCACACUAUUUUUAUUUAUUUUUAUUUUUACACCAAAAUCUGGUAUGUUACACAAAAAUUCACGAAUUAUUUCGAAUUUUUAGGAAAAGUGCGUAUACGAACAAUUUAAUUUGUUAUUCAAAAAUUCGCGAAUAAUUCGUGAAUUAACUAACAAUGAUCAAUACUCUACAAUAAUACUUUGAGGUGUAGAAAAUUGAAUCCCACACCUCCCACAUAUGAGAAUGCUGUUUAUACCAUCUAAGCUAUAACUCCCACUCUUCUAAUUUUUCCACAAUAUAUGAAUUAAUAACAUAUAUUAAUUUUAAGAUAUCAGAAUCCGAAUUCGAAUCCAAAUUUGAAAUAUUCUAAUGCAUUCGCAUCCGAAUUCGAAUUCGAAUUCGAAAAUAUUGUAAAUAUAAUAUCCAAUUUUAAACCCAAAUUUGACUGAAUUUAUAAUUUUGACAUCUGUAUUUGCAUCAGAUUGCAAAUUAGAUUAGAUCGGACUUUAUUCUAACCACUUUCACCCCUACUCAUUGAAGAGAAAAAUAAAAAAAUUGGGGACCUCUCUAUUAAUCUUAUGAGGACUAAAAAUUAAAUCUCACAAAAUAUAAUAAUAUAAUAUAAAAUUUUAGAUCAAAAAUAUUGAUAUAAUUUUAUGUUAAAAAAUUUUCUAUCAAAAUUUCACAAGUUUUCAAUAUUUCUACACUUUUAAUCUUACAAAGGGCUCACCGCGACCAUUAAAAUUUUUGAUUUUGAGCCUCUUCAAUCACUAGAUAAAUUAUAUAAAAAAAGUUGUGAAAUUUAUUUUUAGGUACUUUAAAUACUUUAUAUCAAGUAUAACAGAACCGAUUCUCGAUUCUGAAGUUUCAGCAUUGAAAACAAUUUGAUAGCAUGGAUACUUCUGAAAGCACACAAGCCUAACUCUCUAGAUAUUAUUAUUAAUUAAACAUCUAUAUCUAUUUAUGCCUUUUAUAUCUAUACCUCUAUACCUAUACCUAUAUAUAUACAUGAUAUCUCCUAAAGUUGCCACAUGGCAACUUUUCCUUCGUGGCUGAAUGUGGGCUCCACCUCGAACCAGCUCAAGUCCUUCCUCUUCCUCUUCCUUUUCCUUCGGCUGUUAUUUUCGUUCAACAGCAAGAUGAAUCCCACCCCUCAUUAUUGCUUUUUUUAUUAUUAUUGUUUACUUUUUUUUGUAGAUAGUUUCUAUAUUUUUUUCAAUUAUUUAUCCGUCGCAUCGCACGAGUUACUAAGCUAGUUAUAUAUUAACUGGCUAGUAUUUUAAGAGUAACAAAACUAUAUUUCAUAGGAUUAUGAAAUUACAAUCUUAAUGUGUGGAAAAGAUCGGUGCAGCUGCGCUCCAUUCUCUGUAAAAUUUCGUUUGGAAAAAAAAAUUGCUUGGCUAUCUGGGAGAUGAUUAUUUUUCGUAAUGAAGUUGCCAAUCAGAAUAAGAACUCCAAGAAGUUAUGAGAAUAAAAUCAUGCAUCAAUGCCAGAACCAAUUUCUCAAGAUAGAAGUUAUGAGAAUCCCAGCAUCCUCCUUCGCUAAAGCCACCUGUACCCUUUGAAGUAGUCGUAAAAAUCCUCCGAUUGAGACCACAGGAAGGGGCCAAAAAAAAAAAAAAAGUGAAAAAACUUAUAUGAGACUAGAGGAAGAAAAGAAAAUGGUGAAAAUGCAAAGAUUUUAGGAUGCGUUUUAUAAGAAAAAAUAAUUUUUUAAUAUAUUUUUGUUAUUUUCAAGAGAAUGAAUGGAAUAGUGACGGAAUUCUGAUAAAAGAGACUAAUUAAAUGCAUCAAUCUGAAAUUUUAAGGAGGCAAAAUAUAAGUUCUUUAAAGUCAAAAGAAAAAAAGUAAAAAAAGAGUAUUUUUAGGACAUAUUCCUCUACUGAGAGAAAUAUAUAUGCAUUGUCUUGAUCUUAGAGAAUUUUCUGAGCAAACACCAACUAAAGCAAAUCCUCCAAAGUAAUUAAGCAGUAAAUUCCAAAUACUUGAGAUUCUCAUAUUUCUGUUCUGGUGGAUUAAUUUAUUUGAUUGCGCCAAUCAAAAACUAAUUUGCCCAAGGCCUGCAUUAUUUAAUUUGGCAUAUCAUAAGGUUUAUAUAUAUAUAUAUAUACACACAUCAUUAUUAUAGCAUUAAUUAUAUGAGAGGGAGCUUAAUCUUAUGAAGUAACCAAUUAUAUAUCCGUUGAAGUGUCCAUUAACUAUGAAAAUAUAAAAAAUACUGUUAUCUAUCAAGUUAAGCUUUAGAAAUUAAAUAAUGUUCAUUUCAAAUUCUUUAAUAUAGUAUCAGAGUUGGAGGUUCUGAUGAUUUCCUUCCAUUUAAUUCAAGUCUACGUCAACCACGGAUGUGAGAGAAAGUAUUAAAUAUAAAAAUAUAAAAAAUAAAAAAUAUAAUUAUUUUUUUAUUUAAUUCAAGCUCGUAGACUUAUUAAAAAAUCUCAAGCCCAAAGGUGCUUCAUUGUUUAAAUAGUUUAAAUUUUUGAAGAAAAACUGUUUCUUCGUGUUAUUAAAUGGCAUCAUAAUAUUGUAACUUAGAAAUUGCUCUCUUCCAUUUUUUGGAUUGCCACAAACUAAGUCUAGUGGUAACUUAACUUUCUGUAAAUUGUUGUGAUUAUGCUCUAGCUGUCGACGGAGUCAAUUACAAAAGAAAAAAAAAUAAAAUUCACACAACGUUAAUUUACAAAUAUAUUUACAUUCUGUUUCGAUGUCGGAAUAAAUUAUCUAAUGAUAUUCUAUUUAAUUUUAGUAUAGUCUAUUCCGAUCGAAAUUUGAAAGUAUUGUACGUCAAAUAUCUAUAACCCUUAUGAAAGCCCGUGUUCUCUUUGUCCACGUGGCAAUAUUAGCUUAAUUUAACCUCCUGUGAGUCCUACCUGUCAUUUUAAAAUACUCUGUUAAUUACUUAGUGGGUGGGACCCACCCAACCAAAUUAAUUUUCCUCCCCUACUCCGCUUCCCAUUUAAUUUUCCCUGCUUCCUUUGCUCCCCCCUCUAGACGCCGCUCCCUACUCCGACUUCCUUCGCUCGCCCCUCUAGACGCCGCUCCGAUUCCAGUUCCCUCUCUGGACGGAAUGUUGGGCCGAGUUCAUGGCUCGCCCCUCUAGACGCCGCUCCGAUUCCUGUUCCCUCUCUGGACGGAAUGUUGGGCCGAGUUCAUGGUCGCACCUUCUUCCCGUCACGCCCAUUCCCGUUAGCGACGCUUCGUUUCGUUCGCCUCUAGAUGCCGCUCCGACUCCUGUUCCCUCUCAGGACGGAAUGUUGGGCCGGGUUUAUGGUCGGCCCUUCUUCCGGUCGUGCCGUUCCUAUUAGCGACACUCCGUUUCGGCUUAUUCAUCCCCUCCGAUCACGAAAAUGAUUCGGAUUCAUUCUCUGUGGUCCCUUCUUGCUGCCUAUAUAAUAUGCCUUUGAAAAAAAUUUCUUUGCAGCAAAACAACUCUAUUUCUCUCCUGAUUUUUUCUAUCUCUGAUUUGGUAGCGAUCGAUGGUAUAUAUAUUUUUUGUUUCUUCCUUAUGGCUCUUUUUUCUAACACAAUUGGAGCUAUUAUUGAAUACCUUUAGCAUAUUGUUUGCAAUGUGUUGUGACAGUUUGAAAAUGGCCGAAAAGAUUUUUUUUAAAAAAAAAGAAAACAAGAAAGGAAGUCGAGCUCAAAUUGCAUCCUGUCUGAUUCUUGCUUUGGGGCAUUGUGAAAUUUUCAGGUAUCAAGACAUCUUUACAGCCUUGGUGUUAUUCCGAAGGAUAAUGAUGCCUGCCGAGGUUCCUUCACUGCUGAGGAUGGUCGGAGUUUACUGGACACUUUCCUCCUCUCUCAGGUUGACAACUUUCUAGAAUUGGGAUCUAUUUCUGAUUGCUUUUGGAUUUUAAUGUAAUCUUCUACUUUACCAUCAUAGUGGGAAUAUCAUGCUUGGAGGGGUUAGCUUGAAUACGAUGUCACUACCUGCGAAUUUAAGGUGCAUUUUCAAGGCUUUUAAUUGACGCAUUCAGUCUUCCAGUUUAGUUUUUAGGCUUUUAGCACAUUCUCAGAAUGACUCUGUCACUCUGCAGGUUAUCAGUGGUAGAAAGAAGUUUAUUGUCCAAUUGAAUAACAGAUGGAAUGCACAAUUUCUUAAGAAAUUUGAAAACAACUUUCUUGAACCGUUGGGAUUUAUAAAGUCAAACUACAUGAAAAAUUGCAAGGACGAAAUACUCUUCUGUGUUUGCCAGGGAGAAAAGGAGAGCUCUGAGCAACUACCUUUGACAGUGCUACCUAAAGAUGGAGUUCUGAUCAUUACUAAUGUAAGUAUGAAUCUCCGGUUCAUACAAAUUAAACUUAAACUAUGUGCAGAAUACUUUUUGAGUUGUGGUUAUGAUUGGUCCAUGUCUUUUUGUCCAAGGGGAAUCCUGUCGAGUACGGUCAUGUCUACUUGGUGCCUUAUGUUAGCCACCAGUUACCGCUGUUUUGGAACCGAAAGAUAUUAGGAUUAGUCACACAGAUUGCUGUUGAAGUUAAUAAUUCCUCAUUUCGAGUUUUCCUUGACAAUGCUUCUACAACUUCUGGUCAUAUGCAUUUUCAAGUAGUCUUGCUGACAUUUUUUAUUUUUUGUACAGCGCGCAAAUCAUAUCCAUAUCUGUCUAUUAAACUUUUCUCCUUAAUUUCAUAUAUGGAUCUCAUAAGCAUAAGCCCACCUAUAUAUGCUUAAUGUUAUGCUUUUUAACAACUGGUUCCAAGUAGAGAGACUUUGUUUGGAGAGCUUGACAACCGUCAUGUUAGACCGGAGUUUUUUUUUGUCUUGAUUAUGCUUUUUUAGUGAGGCCUAGGUAUCUUAUCUUUGAAUUUCAGCUCCUUUGUUUCAAGUGAUGGUUGUAAAUGUUUGCAUGUCUCAAUGUCAGAUUUUUAGGAAACUAAGGAGUCUGUCUUAUGGCCUUAAUAGAGGCGACAUGCCUACAUGCCUACACAUAAUCCUAGAUGUUGGGUAUGAGUGAAAUAGAAUAAAUUGCAUGCUGCAGAGGAAUUUUAGGGUAGCUCAAAUAACUAUAACUAUGUGGGAAAGUUAAAGAGUGAUGAUGUUAGAUGAUUGUGUUGGCUUAAUGGGCAGGAAUUUUGAAAGAUUUCUUGAAAAAUAUGAGAUACAAUAUAUUUGUGGAUGUAAAUUAAAAAUUGGAAUGCUCUCUAACGCAAACCUCCUCCCACUUUAUGAGUACCACAGGUCUUCUAGCCAUCUUUUAUAUUUUAAGGUUUACAAUUUUGAAGUUGUCUCAACUAUAUUUUUCCUACAUUGAUAUCGGAUUGUUUCACAUGGGCUUAUUUGAGCUUAAUCGGUAGUGAUUUUAAAUGUGUUCACUUCUUGCGGUUAUUAUAAACCACAGGUUUUGUAUCAGGAGUCCUCUGACCAAACAUUUAUCACAUCAGUGAAGUUGACAACCUAUCGUUUUCUUAUGUUGUUUUUGUUUUACAAAUAUGAGUAGAGGGCAUUCAAUCACAUAGAUUAUGAAACAAUUCUAUUUUUUUUUCUGUGUCUGCAACAUUUCUUUCAUUAUUACGUUCGCUGCAGUUUGGAUGACAAAGAUGCAACAAUGGUGGAUUGGAAACCAAAUUCACUUUGUUGUUUUAAAGGAAAUAAGGUAGAUAAUAAAUUUGGUCUAAAAUCUUUGAACAUCUUUUAAGCUCCUCCAAACCUCAAUUCGUAUGUAAUCAUGCCUUACAAUCUUUCGGUGUUUCAUUUCUCUGAAAAACCAUGGGUACUCACUUGAUAUAAAAAUAAAAUCAUAGGGUACUAACUUGAUACAAAAAUAAAAAUCACUGGGUACUAGCUUGAUACAUUUUAAACCACAGAGUACUAAAAUGAAAAAAUACGAAACCACAUGGGAUUUUUGAAGUUUUUUCUAAAGUUAUUCUAUAAUUCUUUGUUAUAUAUGCAUGUUAAGCAAACAUUGAAAAGUUGAAGUAGGUGAGUUAUACAUAUUUUAAAUCUCAGUAGUUUUCUGGUACUUCAUAUAGUUUGAUACUCUUUUGAUAUGCUAUAAUUGUUACACCAAUUAUAUUUGAUGAUUGUUUUAUGAAAGCUAUUAGUAUAGCUGAGUUUUGCAUGAUAUGCCAUAUCUCUUCAACAUAGUUAAUUCAUUUUUGAAUGAUUAAUUUUUUUUUCCAAUCAUAAUGUAUGUUUUUUAAAAACAAUAUUUUAUUUUAUGUUAUUUCUAUAUUUUGUUGAUAUUUCAUUCUCUACAAAUUUUUACUUUAGUAGUAUCUACCCGGCGCAACGUGCGGGUCACUACACUAGUAUAAAAUAAAACAACACAUUUGGUCUCCAACUCAUUUUAAUUUUUAAAAUAAGAUAAAUAAUUUUGUAAGUAAAAUAUGUUAUCCUACCAAAUUAUAUAUACAAAGAUUUUCAAACAAAAUCACUUGGUAUUCAAAGUUUUAAGUUCGUAUCCUAGUUGAUUCAUAUUUUUCAGCUAAGUUUGUUUCUAAAUGAAAUAAACAAAACGGGUAGCAUGCUACCAUUCUCUCUCUCUCAACAAAAAAAAAAAAGAAAAAGAAAAGAGGUUUUCAAACAAAAUCAUCUAAACAAAAUCUUUUUCACAAUCAAUUACUUUGCUAGAAAGUAAAAUAGCAAACAAGAAAAGUACACAAUAUUUGCGCUUUAUCAUACGUGACAAAAAAUAUCUUUUUAUUCCAGUAUUUGGCAAUGGCAAGCCAAAGUGUUAGCUCAUGAGAUGAAGAAAAAUUUCAACACCAAAUUAAGCAGUGCGUUCGGCGGUGGCGUCGUCUCGGUGGACGAGAUAAGUGAAUCCGGAGGGGGGGAGGGGGGUGGAGAUGGUGAUCGAGCGCGGCGGCGGCGGGCCGAGCCACUCCAAAAUUCGGAGCCUCGGCGUCGACAGCUUCAGGUAAGCCGGUGCGGAGCCCGCGAGCUCCUGCUGCACCCGCACCUCCCUGACGCGCCCCCCCGCCAGCCCGACGUGCGUCCUCAGCUCGAAAACCUCGAGGAGCGGGCAGUUCACNCGCCCCCCCGCCAGCCCGACGUGCGUCCUCAGCUCGAAAACCUCGAGGAGCGGGCAGUUCACGUCGAGCUGGGGAGGCCCACAGAAGAGCGACAUCUCCAAACACUUGAGAGCCGGGCAGCUCUUCGAGAUCGCGUCCCCCGCGACGAGGCUUAAGUCAAGGUCAGCGAGUUCGAGCCUCUGCAGAGAAGGAAAGAAAGCGGUGGCGGGCCAAUUGAGAUGUGGUACUACUCUCGGGAGUUGGAGUUGGAGCACUCGCAGAUGCUGCAGGCUAAAGACUGCCGGGGGUAGGCGGAAGGAGCGGAAAGCGGGGAUGCUGUCGGUGAGAACGAGUUUCAGCUUCAGGUUCUGCAAGGUGGAGUAAUGGGCGGCAUAGUCGAUCCAGGAGCGGGCGCGAGCCGGGUCGGAGACGGCGUAGUCGGACGUGGAGAGGGAGAAGGAGCGGAGGGGGACGACGGGGUCGCGGAGGUGGAGGACGGAGUCGACGAAGGAGGGGGGGAGGCGGGUAGUGAAGGAGAGGUCGGGGGACGUCGUCCAGAGCGUCCGCCAUCGCCGCGAGAGGAGGGAGGUGCAGGCGGCAAUGCUGGUGGGAAGACAGGCGAGGAUUUCGUGGAGGAGAUGGUCCGGCAGACCGCUGAUGCAGUCUGCCUUCCUCGCCGCCUUCUCAUCCUCCUCCUCCUCCUCCUUCUCGAUGUGGUUCAGUCUUCUUCUCUUUGCUGCAGGUUCUUCUUCCAAUCUAUAAUAAUAAUCUUGAAAAAUAAAAAAAAUAAAACAGGAGUAAAAGAAAUAUAUAUAACAUACAUAUACGAGACUCGGCCAAGGAGUAAAUUAAGAUUUGUGUGUGAUGAUCAGAGGCCGUUCGUUUAACUGCUUAGACUAAAUCCUACCACCGACUAGAAUUUUUGUUUUUUUUGUUGAGGUGAUCAGGUCCGCUACUUUUAAAAAGAAAAUAAGUUAGUUAGAUGGAGCGACUCAUAAUCUUUUAAGAGGUAUUUUAUUCUACACGUAAAUUUAUAAAAAAUAUUUUUUAUUGGAAAAAAAAUUACAUUCUACAGUAUUUGAUUUGUAGGAAAAAAAAUUAUUUUAACCAUGGUAAAAUAACGGUUUUUUCGAGGAAAGGUAAUCGUAAUAAUUUUCGAUAUUUGAAGGAGUAUAUAAUAUUUAAAUAUGAAUUUAUUAAUUUAAAAUUUUAAAUUAAUUCAAAUUUUAAAUCAAAAUUUAUAUGUUACGAAAUGCAUAUGAAAAGUAUUUAUAAUUUAAAAAUUGAAAAUAUGUAAAACUUAGUCGGAGAUAAAUUAAUUUAGAAAAAUAUCAAAUAAUAAAUAAAAAAAGACCACCAAUAAUAAUUUAAAUUUAAAUUUAAUUUAAUUAAAUAUGACGUAGUAUAGAGAAACAUGCAUAUAUUAAUAUUCUAGUAUCGUACUACAACUAAUCUAUAUAACUAUAUAAUCGAGAGUUUGUACGGCGAGCUCCCCGCGUUUUGCGGGAGCUUCGCGAGAGAGAGAGAGAGAGAGGGAGAGAGAGAGAACAGAGGGAGGAGAGAGAGAGAGCAUACAGAGAGAUGGGGAGAGAGAGAGAACAGAGGGAGAGAGAAAGAGCAGAGUAGAAGGAGAGAGAGAGAGAGAGAGAGAGAGAGCUCAGGCUCUUUCUCUCUCUCUCCCUCUCUCUCCUCGCAUGCUCCCGCGAUGGGGACCGCCACAUGCAGCCCCCCCCCCCCCUCGGCUCUCUCUCUCUCUCUCUUCCCUCUCUCUCUCUCCCACCCCCACCCCCCGUCCUUCCCCUCUCUCUUCUCCCCUCUCUCCCUCUCCCCACGGUGCGCGUGACCCGUGCCCAGCGGUGCGGUCGCUCGGGGGAUUCCCAGCCCGCGCCCCCGCGUGCUUUUUUCCCCCCUCCUCCUCCUCUUUACCUCCCCUCCUCCCCACGGCUCUCUCCCACUCUCCUCUCCCCCCCUCUCCUCUCUCUCUUCUCCCCCUCGCCCCAGCGGGCGGCAGCAGGAGCUCGGGCGGGCGGCGGGCAGUGUAGCCGCGGCGGCGGCACGUGGGGCGGCGCGCGGGCGCGGGCAGGCAGCGGGCGCGCGCACGGCCGAGCACCAGGGAGGGAAGAGAGAAAGAGAAGAAAGGGAGAGAGAGAGAGAGAGAGAGAGAGAGAGGUCAGGGGAGAUAGAGAGAGGGAGAGAGAGAGAGAGAGAAUUUAUAAUUUUAAUUUUAAAUUUAUAUAUAAAUUUUAAAUUUUAAAUCUUAAAUUUAAUUUUAACUUUAUAUAUAUAUAUAUAUAUAUAUAUAUAUAUAUAAAUAUAUAUAUAAUAUAUAUAUAUAACUAAUUUUAUUUAUAAAUAUAUAUUUAUUUAUUAUAUACAAUUUUAUAUUUAAUUUUUCUUUUAUGUUUAACAUUUUAACUUAGAUCUUAAAAUAAAAAAUUAAAAAGAUUUCUUCAAAAAUAUUUUAAAAUUAUCCAAAUUUUCCGCUGCGGAGCGCGGCCUUCACUAGUUUCUAGACAAAGUUUAAAUUAUAUUUUCAUGUUCCUUUUCUUUAUAAGAUUAAUAUGUACUAAAAAAAAAUAAAAUCAAUAAAUUUUAUUUUAAGCCAUUAUAUUUUAAUAUGGCUAAUAAAAUAAUUCAGCCGGUUUGAUUAAAAUCGAAUCAUUUUACCGUUUAAUGAUUAAAUCACUACUUCAACAAUUCAAAGCAGUUUUUUGACUUUUGGGUUCCAAGAGUUAAAGCGAACUGUGUUAUAAAUUGGGUCUCGGACUUUGUCGAAAUGCGAGUUCAAAUAAAGACUUUCAUCAAUUUAUAUAUAUAUAUAUAUAAUAUAUAUAUUAUAUAUAUAUAUAUUAUAUAAUAUAAUAUAUAUAUAUAUAUAGAUAUAUAUUAUAAUGAUGCAAAGAGAAAAAUAAAACAUUGGGGUAAAAAAGUUGAGGGAGGUGGAAUAUUUGAUAGAAGCAAAACUAAAAUCAUUCUAUUUAAGAGAAAAUUUGUUUUCAAUUUUUGCCGUCAAAAUAAAAAAAACUUUUAAGAUGCAUAGACUACAAUCACCCUAAAACCAUCAAUCCACACAUCCACACAUUCUAGCUAGUACAUAGAAUUUAUGUUUGAAAAAAAAAAAACAAUAAUACCAAAUGAUUAUCUAUAAUAGGAUUUCUUUAUCUACAUCUCCAAAUUAAAAUCUAAUUAAGUAUGCGAAUAUCUAGAAAUGAGCCCGUUUUUUAUACUUUUAGAAGCACGAUGACCUCUGUGUAAUCAAGUCGUUAAUGGAUGGUGAAACUUCCGAAUCGACGAUCGCCUCAAUUAGACUUGAUCUAAAGUAUUUGAAAUACCUAAAAAUAAAUUUUAUAAUUUUUCGAUAUCAUUUACUUAGUGAUCGAAAGGACUCAAAAUCAAUAGGACAUUGAUAUGGCUUUAUGCAGUACAAAGAAUUUUUUAUCAAAAUUUUAUAAGAUUUGAAUAUUUCUACGCCGUUGAACUUACAAACGACUCAUCGCGACUAUUAAAAUUGUUAAUUUUGGGCCCUUUCGAGAAAUCAUAAAAUUUAUCUUUUAGAUACUACAAAUACUAUAGAUCUAAAUCUAACGGUGCCAAUCGUCGAUUGCAAUAUCAAAAACGACUCGAUAAUACCCGUGCUUCUAAAAACAUAAUACAAACCUAGCUAUCUAGAUAUUAUUAAUAAGCAUUACAUAUCAACUAUCUUUCAUAAGAUUGCGAGAUUACAAUCUUAAUGUGCGGAAAAGACCGGUGCAGUUGCUACAUUCUCUGAAAAAUUUCUUCUGGAAAAAAAAAUUGUUUGGCUAUCCAGGGAGAUGGUUAUUUUCCGCAACGAAAUUGCCAUUCGGAAUAAGAACUCCAAGAUGUCAUAUUCAUAUCUUUUUCCCAUAAAAUUAUGGAUCGAUAUCCGGACCAAUUUCUCAAGACAGAAGUUGUGAGAAUCCCAGUAUUCUCCUUUGCCAAAUCCGCCGAUGUAGUUGUAAAAAUCCUCGGAUUGAGACUAGAGAAAAAAACAUAUAUGAGAAUAGAGGACGAAAAGAAAAUGAUGAAAAUGCGGAGAUCUUAGGAUAUGUUUUAUAAGAAAAAAUAAUUUUUAAUAUAUUUUUAUCAUUUUCGAGAGUACGAACAAUAUAAAUAUUUAUAGAGAAAAUUUUAUGUAUUUUAGUCUAAUUUUGAUUUACUUAUUGAAUCUUUGGUACAUCCUCCGCUGAGAGAAACACGCAGUGUCUCGAUCUUAGAGAAUAUCUCGAGCAAAAAGGUAACAUCCAGUGAGCUAAAUCCUCCAAAUUAAGUAGACAGUCAACUCUUCUCAUAUUCCUGAUCUAGUGGAUUAUUUACCUCAUUGCGCCGAUCAAAAACUAACUUGUCCAAGACCUGUAAUAUUAUUUAAUUCGGCAUAUCAUUUCAGAAUAAGAAUAAAAAGGUUUAUAAAUAGUGUUUGUUAAAUAUAAAAAUAUAAAAAAUAUAGUUCUCGUGUUUUAACGAGCUAUUACGUCUCUGCCUUCUCAUCCUCCUCCUUGUAGUUAUGCAGCCUUCUUCUCUUUCUUCCCGAUUCAUCUUCCAUCCUAAUAAUCGUAUAACAUAUCCAUAUUAUAUAUGUAUAUAUAAGAGAAAAUAUACUCUAUUUUUUUUUAAUCUUUUUUAGUUAAUAAGACCAAAAUAAUUAUGCAAUGAUUAAAGAAAUAUAUUUGUUGAUGAUAAAAUAUUUUAAAAAAUUACCAAAAUAAUUUGUUUAUAAAAGAGCUAAAAUUUAGGGAUUUCGCCGCAUUUUUUUUUAAAAUAAAACGGUGACUCAUAAAUCGUAAUCAGAGGAAGAGAUAAACUGAUUUGGUUAGACUCGAUUGAGGAUUGUCGUAAGGAUUGAGAUUUUGACAGUACAAUUAGACUCUCUGUUGACGAUGUUUAUAUGUGUAAUUUAAUUACAUAAGCACUCGUCAAAUUUCAAGCGAAAAUGAGCUAAAACGGAGAAGUUACGCGAUUAUUAGUUUUCACUUAAGUGAAUAGUAACUCCGGUUUCCCGGAGAAGCCACGGAGUAGAGUUGGCUUUCGGCGCGUAUCGGACUCCGUUCAUAGCGAUCCAAUAGCUCGUUUCGAUCGGUUCAGCUAUUCUGGAACCAAUGGCACUGACGGAUUUCAGAUCCGAUGCACGAUUUUCGAUAAAAAGGGAUUUUAUCAAAAAGAGGGUUUCCGAUCUUUGCUAUUCGUGCAUUUUGAAACUCCUCGUGCUUUGUACAAGUGAUCUGGAGAUGGGUGAGAGAUGUUUCAAGUACCUACUGGUGGUAGGGAAUUCAAAUACGAGUUUGAAUUAACGGAUUUCGGGUUUCAACCUAGGCCUAUAUAUGAUAUGUGGAUUAGUUGGAGAGAGGGCAGGUUUUGUCGCUGAUCGGAGACCAAAUCAGACGAAACAAAAUGCUAGGUUCGAUGCACCCGACAUGCUGAACGCAAUGGUGCUGUUGGAUCGAAAAUCCGACGAACGGAUUUUCAGGAAACGCGAAAUGUUCGCUGAGGGGUCGAAUUGGCAAAGUCGGAAACUUCGCAAAAGUUGCGAUAUUUUAUGUACCGAAUCGCGUGAAACCGGACGUGGAGGGGUAUCCGCGCGAUUUACUCACGCUGUGAGGGACUCGGAUAGAAUUGUUGAGUCUUGGAGGACUAUUUUGCAAAUUGGACCUAUGUAAAUAGUAGUUACACUAGGGUUUCAUGAGGAAACCCUAGCUUUUGGCCUUCUCCUUAGCCGAACCUAACCCUAGCCGCCCCACCUGCAAUUCUGCCCUCCCCGUGCGUAUGCUCCGGCCGCCGGCGAUCACCUCCGGCAGCCGGAAUUCCCUACACCACCUCUCUCUCUCCCUCUCAGCCAACCACUCCCCCCGCAUCGUGGUUACGAACCCAGGAAGUCACCUAGGUCCGAGCACCAUCAUCCCCUGGUAGAGACCAACCUCCGGCACCGUCGCCGGACGAUGCCGCCGUCGGCGCGCGUCGCCGGAACCAGCAGAGCUAGCCGCGGCCAGCCUGGGCCAACCCUGGCCGAGCCGACUGCAGCUCGGUGCCUGCUUGUUGGAGCCGCCCUAGAUCGGCCGCCCCGACUUCCUCCGGCCUCUGGCGAUCUCCGGCGCACUUCCCCGUCGCCCCCGCGCACCUCCGGCCGCCGCUCGGGCAGCCUGCAGCUGUCCAGACCGGAUCGGGCCGAGUCUGGGCGCACACGACCUCCGCGCGCCGCCGCCGCCCACCGACGGACGCGCUGCCACCCCUUGGACCUCCGGCGACCUCCCGCUGCCGCCGGCGACCUCCCGCGUGUGUUUCCUGGCGUCCCCGACCAACGCCGGCCGCCGCCCGAAGCUCUCGCAGCCGCCCAGACCCGUGCGGGCCGAGGUCGGGCCCGCUCGGCUUUCAAGCACCGCCGCCGCCCACCGGGGGGUGCACCACCUUCUCCUCGACCUCCGGCGACGAACCAUCGCCGCCCCGGGCUCCUCCGGCCGCCGCUUCACCGCCAGCGCCCUUGAACCUGAAAGGAACUUGGCGAACUUGAUCUCCGCCGCCGCGCCACCGGCCACCUCCCGCCGCCGGCCAGCUGGUGCCCCGGACCCCUUCGACCUGCCGCACCCUUCCCCGGCCGGACCGCCCGCCGUCCGGCCACCGCCGGCCAUGCCCUAGCUCCUCCAAGCUCCGGUAAGCUUAGUUUAGUUUCAGCACACUGUUUAGGGUUCGGAUCGCGGUUCCAGCGAUCCGAGGGCACUCCGAUGCUACUGGAGGUGAGCAUGAUGAUACUGAGUUAGUGAGGAUCAUCGUGAUCACCUCCGUAGGGGUCAGCGAUGCGCCGGUUUGCGUGUUAGACGCGAUUUAGAUACCAUGCACGCUGUUUCGCUGAAGUUCGCUUCAUGCGCGUGCCCUCCACAGUGGCCGGAAUUGCUCCGAAAGGUGAGCACAGCCUCCGGCACGUCGAGACAUGUCAGUAGGUGUCUCGGUUUGGCUGCAUGACUCCUGGUUUGUGUAGACUGACCAUAAAAGCGCUGAAAUCGCAUGAAAUAAUGCGAUUUUGGGUAAUCGGGAGGGCUUUUAUGCAAUUUGAUUUGUCGUAGCUGCUGUUGGCAGCAUGGGUGAGCUGUGGGUGACCUCUGGACUGAUGGUCCAAGGCCCCGGACCUUUGCGAAGAUCGGAAAUGUAUUUCCGGUGCGUUUGUCGGCAAAAUCCGCCGACGGAACGCGGUUUUGGUUCGGAAUUAUUCCGACGGUGCUUCGUGAGUUAUUGUGUGGUUGCUGAGCCUCAUUGGCUGGUCACUCGCAUCAUUUCGAGAGUUUAGAAAUGACGGGUGAGCGACGGUGGGUUCCGGUGUCGAAAUAGACACUUCCGGGAACCCGGUUCGGAACGAUUAUCCGACGAUAAUCGUUUUGGAGUGAGUUAAGGUCUUUGCUGCCAAGUCACAUGUAAAUUGUAUUUAGUGGCAGCGGGUGACUCGUAGUACGAGUCGGUGAGUUCCGGGACAGUCCGUGGGUCCCGGCAGAGUCUCGGUGCGGUUUUCGGGACUUCCGGUUUGUUCGGUAAUCGGUUUUGGGAAACCGAUCUCCGUGGGAUUGUCUGUGGGUUGUGUAUUCAGGGGUUUAUUUGUGGGGUUAUGCUUUUAGGGUUUCUUAGUUGUGGGUUAGACACUAACCCAGUGGACCCUCCUUAGGUCCUGUUGACGUUCUUUUGCAGUCAGGAGACAGGCGCGACAGUUGUACAGGUGGGUACUUCGAUCCGACGUUGGUACAGUGGUGCACGCUCGGUGAUGGUUUCUUACCCUUGCUCUUUUGUUAUUAUCCAUGCUUAUAUUAUAUGUUGAGCUUUGCACCUCUAUUGUUUACAUUACACCCACGUUGUUUGAUUAUACUCUACUCAGAUGUUUCCAUGCUUAGUAUCAUGUGUAGGAGUAUAGUCUAUCUGUAUGUGAUACCAUGUUUCCUUGUUGCUCUACUUAGCUAUUCUGCAUACCCUGUUUCAUAUUUAUAGUAGAGCGAUUCUGUGAUUAUCUGUGAGAUUAGCGAUCUAGUCGGUCGAUUCUAGUAUUCAGUAUUUGUGACCUAUUCGGUGAGUUCCUCGACCUUUGUUGUCUGAUGACCGUUGAGGUCGGUAUACCCUGAGGGGUGGGAUUGUCGGUUAGUUGCCGACGGAUGAUUAUACUUUACUCAUAUCCUAUACUUGUGACAUGAUUGGUCGAGUUUCAUAUCCUAUACUUGUGACAUGAUUGGUCGAGUUUCAUAUCCUAUACUUGUGACAUGAUUGGUCGAGUUUCAUAUCCUAUACUUGUGACAUGAUUGGUCGAGUUUCAUAUCCUAUACUUGUGACAUGAUUGGUCGAGUUUCAUAUCCUAUACUUGUGACAUGAUUGGUCGAGUUUCAUAUCCUAUACUUGUGACAUGAUUGGUCGAGUUUCAUAUCCUAUACUUGUGACAUGAUUGGUCGAGUUUCAUAUCCUAUACUUGUGACAUGAUUGGUCGAGUUUCAUAUCCUAUACUUGUGACAUGAUUGGUCGAGUUUCAUAUCCUAUACUUGUGACAUGAUUGGUCGAGUUUCAUAUCCUAUACUUGUGACAUGAUUGGUCGAGUUUCAUAUCCUAUACUUGUGACAUGAUUGGUCGAGUUUCAUAUCCUAUACUUGUGACAUGAUUGGUCGAGUUUCAUAUCCUAUACUUGUGACAUGAUUGGUCGAGUUUCAUAUCCUGUACUUGUGACGUGAUUGGUCGAGUUUCAUAUCCUAGUUGAUCUGAGUGGUCAGUCCUUGUGGUUCAUUGAGCAGUAUUUGCAUAUGUUUGAGAGGAUGUCGAUGUUGUCCCAUCCUAGUUGACCUGAGUGGUCGGUUCUUGUGCUUCUUUACAGUUGACGACCUAUGCGGUCGAUGGGCCCUGGGGGGCAGGAUUGUCGGCUGGUUGCCGACGGUUGAUCAUUGAGCAUAUUGCAUUGAUCGCCCGAUACUCGUCGCAUUUCACGAACACUGGCGGUCUGAUCCACCGCAAGGAGUGUUCUUUUCCGGAAAAGUGGUUGAAUGGUGACAACCCGUGAGCCCUAGAGGGGUUAUAUGCACUGGAGAGUAGUAGUGGCACUGGCUUGAGGUCUGCGGUGCUGACCAAGAGAGCAUUGGUUUCAGAUUGGGUACUUUUGGACUUCUUGACCGGUUGACGCAUAUGUCUAUAGUAGCAGUCGUUGCAUGCAUACUUACAGUUCUUACUUUAUAGUUGUCUUGCUGCUAUAGUAGAUAUUCAUGUAUGCUUUCGGUUCCAGUUACAGUAGCGGUAGCCGUUAUUCAGUCUAGUUCUUACUUUCUUUCAGUUUAUUACUACUGUAUUCGGUAUAUCUGCUCUUUACCUUAUUAUUGUUGCUACUAUAUUUCUACUGACCCUUGUUGUUAUUUAGCUCUUCCUGAUCCGGUGAGUACUCCUCGCCUUCAUCGGCUUGCGGUACCCACUGGGAGGGGAGACAUGUUUACAUGUUCUCACCUCCCCCACUAUUUUUCAGGUAUCGCAGGCGAUGAGUAGUGGGACGAGACGUGAGGUACGUGUGUAGCGGUCGAUAUUGCUUCCGACCCAGGUUAUUUCGAUUUAGUUAUUACCCUUAUUAUUCUGUUGAUAUAUAGCUUAGUCGGUUUACAUGGUUCAAUUUUGUUUUAUUAUCUGAAUAUUUGAGUUUUCAGUUGGUUUUGGAAUGUAUUAAGGAAUUGUGUUUUUGAAAAAUAAAAGGUUUUCUACCUCUCGUGGUAGCGUUUUUAAAAGAUAAAAGUUUCCGUGUAGGGAACAGUUUUCAAAAGAUUUUCUGUGGUUUUGUAUCUUAGUAUUUCAAAACUUGUUUCCGGGUAGGAAACGUUUCAAAUGAUAGAUCUGGAUUUAUGUUUAAAACUAUGAAUACCGUCGUGUUGUGAAUGAUGAAUGUAUGGACGUCUGUAUGUGCAGUUGAGGUUGUAUGUUCAUAUGGUUGUGGUUGUAUUCUGGUUGUACUCUGGUUGUAUAAUUGUACUUGUGCGACGCCGUGCAAAUACAGGGGAGACUCUGUCCGUGUGAACAGUGGAUUCCCUGUAUUUGUGGCGGAUCUGACAUACUCUGGGGUCAGGUGUUUCAAAAAAAAAAAUUUAGUCGUUUCCGCUGUUUUUCCAAACUAAAAGGGGACCCCCGGGGCGUGACAAUUGUAGGGUAUUUACGAUAUUUAUAUUUGAAAGGGCAAGUGAUGAAAUUGCUCUUAUUUUUAAAUUGAGCAAUAUACAACAUUUACACCUUAAAGUGAGGUGUACAUCUUACACCCACUUCAUCACAAGGCUAUUAAUAUAUACUUUCGGCCUUUUUAAAUUUCGGUAUGUUGCAGAUACAUUUUUUAGCGGAAAAAAUUUUCAUGCUUAUCCAACUUGCGAAUCGGAGGAUAUUUUCUGUGAAUCUAUAUUUUAAUUCAAAAUUUAUUUAAUUCCUCAUUAUCUUUAAAACAGAAAACAAAUUCAUACUUAUCCAAAUUUUUAUUGUGAAUUUAUAUUUUAAUUCAAAAUUUAAAAUUUUGAACUAUCAAUAAAUUAUCUCAAAUAGAAAAUAAUUAACUAAUUUGAAAAUAAACUAAAUUUAAAAGAUAGAUUGAUUGAUAAAUAGAUUUAUGUCUCCAAUAACUACUUAUAUUCAAAUUAUUGAUUGAAAAUAAAUUUAAAAUUUGAAAUUUUAUUCAUAAAUUUAAAUAUGAAUUUAUUAAUUUAAAAUUUUUAAAUUAAUUUAAAUUUUAAAUCACAUUCAAAUUCAAACAAAAUUUGUAUGUUACGAAAUACAUAUGAAAAGUAUUUACAAUUUAACUAAAUUGAAAAUAUGCAAAACUUAUUCGGAGAUAAAUUAAAUUUAGAAAAACAUCAAAUAGUAAAUAAAAAAAUACCACCAAUAAUAAUUUAAAUUUAAAUUUAAUUUAAUUUAAUGUGUCGUAGUAUAGAAAAGCAUGCAUAUAUUUAAGUAUAAACUACUAAUUUCUAGUACUCCGCCCUCGUAGUUUUAUUUUUCUCUUUUAAUUAUCUCCUUUACUAAAUUUUUUCGUUAAAUCAUGAUGAACAGAAAAAAAUGAAAUCACAGGGUACUAAAUAGAACAAUGUGAGAGCAAAAAAUUUGAGGGGGAACAUCUAGGUGGAAUAUUUGAUAGAAGCAAAACUAAAAUCAUUCUAUUUAAUAGAAAAUUUGUUUUCAAUUUUUUGCCGUCAAAAGAAAAUACUUUCUAGAUGUAUAGACUACAAUCACCCCAAAGCCAUCAAUCCACACAUUCUAGCCAGUACAUAGAAUUUAUGUUUGAAAAAAAAAAAAAAUACAAUAGGACCAAAUGAUUAUCUAUAAUAGGAUUUCUUUAUCUACAUCUCCAAAUUAAAAUCAAAUUAAGUAUGGGAAUAUCUAGAUAUGAGCCUCUGAACAAUCAAGUCGUUAAUGGUGGAACUUCCGAGUCGACGAUCGGCUCAAUUAGACUUGAUCUAGAGUAUUUGAAGUAUCUAAAAAAUAAAUUUCAUAAUUUUUCGAUAUUAUUUACUUAAUGAUCGAAAGGACUCAAAAUCAACAAGAUAUUGGUAUGGUUUUAUGCAGUACAAAUGAUUUUUUUGUCAAAAUUUUAUAAAGAUUUGAAUAUUUCUACACCGUUGAACUUGUAAACGGCUCAUCACGACUAUUAAAAUUGUUAAUUUUGGGCCCCUUCAAACAAUCGUAAAAUUUAUUUUCUAAAUACUUCAAAUACUAUAGAUCAAGUCUAAUGGAGCCAAUUACGAUUCAAAAAAUUCCAGUAUCAAAAUCAACUUAAUAUUACCCGUGAUUCUAAAAGCAUACAAACCUAGCUCUCUAGAUAUUAUUAAUUAGUAAGCAUUACAUAUGAACUCGCUAGUAGUUCAAGAUAGAGUAACACAACUAUCUUUCAUAAGAUUACGAGAUUACAAUCUUAACGUGCGGAAAAGAUUGGUGUAGUUGCUCCAUUCUCUGAAAAAUUUCUUUUGGAAAAAAAAUUGCUUGGCUAUCUGGGGAGAUGGUUAUUUUCCGCAACGAAGUUGCCAUUCGGAAUAAGAACUCCAAGAAGUCGUACUCAUAUCUUUUUUCCGUAAAAUCAUGCAUCGAUAUCCGGACCAAUUUCUCAAGACAGAAGUUGUGAGAAUCCCGAUAUUCUCCUUUGCCAAAUCCGUCGAAAUAGUUGUAAAAAUCCUCAGAUUGAGGCUAGAGAAAAAAAAAAAAAAAGCAUAUAUGAGAAUAGAGCACGAAAAGAAAAUGAUGAAAAUGAGGAGGAUCUUAGGAUAUGCUUUAUAAGAAAAAUAAUUUUUAAUAUAUUUCUAUCAUUUUCAAGAGCAUGAACGAUAAGUAUUUAUAAAAAAAAUUUUAUAUAUUUUAGUUUAAUUUUGAUUUUGUUGGUGUAAAUAUUCAAAAAAUAGAGGUUAGCUACAAAAUAAUUUAAAAAUAUCAACGAGUCGAUCAAGCCGAGGCACGGAUAUCUCGCUCUCUUUAAGGAGAUUCAAGCCCUCUGCGGUUGGCAAAGCCUUUGAACCGAUGCAGCAGAGCACCGACUUGUCCCCUCCAGGAUACAACGGCUCGACCCUCGUCGUGUGGCUUCACCAACUCUGCACAAGUAGAUGAGCCCAAAGCUCCACCAAAAGAACACCUUUCUUUGACCUUCUCUCUCUCUCAAGUAUAAUAGAAAUAGCUUUAUAGUUUAUUGAGUUGUGUGUUAGAAUAGAGAAAAAGAGCCCUCUAUAUAUAGGCUCAUAGGAUAGGAGUUACUAGAAUUUAAAAAGCCAUAGGUUACAUAGCAUUUAGUUGUGUUCAUUGUGCAUAGGAGUUUAACGAAAGCAUAGGUUAGGUUUCAAUCAAAGUAAAGUUAUGAAGAAUUAAGAUUCACAUUAAAUAAUAAAAAUGUAACAACAUUCCCCCACUCAUUUUUAUUAUGAGAGUUUGAUGGUCAAAGAGAGAUCAUUAUACAUAAUGAAGGUGUGCUCUGCAUUGAACCUUCACUUAGUGAAACAGUAAUCUCUACUCCAGAGCCAGAGUGGUCUCAGACUUGAACUUUGGCUGCUUAGGGGAAAUAGAAAGUUACUGCUCACAUAUAACAAUCCAGGUGUUGACAUGAGCUUUAAUAGCCAGCACGUUACGGCCCUGUGCUGAUCCUGGUUUUCAUGAGCAUAUUUGAGAAUAAGCCCGUUCUCAUAGGAAGCGGCCCCACUUCCAUGCUCACAUAGGUGAAAUCCGUCAAGGGUGCUCCUGUAAUUCUGACACCCUGCUCAUAAGAGCCACAGAUUUCAUUAAGAGCAAAAGCUCAACCCUCUUUUCAUUACAGGAUGAAUGCACCCACACCAUAGGGAUAGGUAAAAAUGCGAUCACAUAGAUCUAUAUAUUGUGCAUUCUUUACGACCACCAUAUGAUUCGUUUUUCCCAUUGAACCCAAUUUUCAGGAUCUCUGAUCAUCGGGUUGGGUAUCCUCAUACGUGGUUCUUGAUGUUAUGGGCUUCAACCCUAUCCCCCUCGAUGUGUUCCAGAUCCUUUCUCUUCCCAAGGCCUUGGUUAAUGGAUCUGCCAGAUUAUCAGUAGAUUUAAUAUAAUCAACACUGAUAAUACCAUUGUUCAUAUAUGAUCUCACAGUACUGUGUUUUCUUCUCACGGAUCUGGAUUUACCGUUAUAAUAACGGUUUCUUACUCUACCAAUAGCAGCAGUGCUAUCACAGUGUAUUAACACUGAUGGAACUGGUUUUUCCACAAAUGGAAUCUCAGACAAUAAGUCUCUCAACCAACUAGCUUCCUCGCUAGCUGAAGCUAAGGCAAUAAGCUCGGCUUCCAUAGUUGAGUUAGCAAUGAUAGUUUGCUUUUUAGAUUUCCAACAUAUAGCACCACCUGCUAAAGUAAAAAUAUAACCAGUGGUAGAGAGAGAAUCACCUGAUAGGGUAUUCCAGUCAGCAUCACUGUAACCCUCAAUUACAGCAGGAUACUUCCUAUAAAACAAGUCAUAAGUUUUGGUACCAACGAGAUAUCUCAUCACACGUUCCAUGGCAUGCCAAUGCUCUGUACCCGGCUUGCUUGUAAAUCUACUAAGUAUCCCUACUGCGUAUGCAAUAUCAGGUCUCGUACAAUUAGUCGCAAACCGCAAGCUCCCAAUCAUACUAGCAUAUUCCUUUUGAUUCAAAAUUUCAUUUUCACUUUUAAUAGGAAACAAGUGAACACUCGAAUCAAAAGGUGUAGUCACAUGCUUGCAAUUAAGAAAGUUAUACUUUUUUAAAAUUUUCUCAACAUAAUGCGACUGAUCAAGAAAGAUCUCAUCUAGUGUUUUGGUAAUUUUCAUACCCAAAAUAUAGUUAGCCUCACUAAGAUCUUUCAUUUCAAAAUAAUGAUUUAGCAUAAUUUUUCUCUCAUUUAUAACAUUCAAGUUAGAGCAAAAAAUUAGCAAAUCAUCCACAUAAAGGCUAACAAUCACAUGCAACUUUUCAAAAGUUUUGUAAUAGAUGCACUUAUCACACUCGUUUAAUUUAAAGCCAUUCUCAAUCAUACAAGAAUCAAAUUUUUCAUGCCACUGUCUAGGUGCCUGCCUUAAGCUAUAAAGGGAUUUAUUUAGCUUGCAUACUUUAUUUUCUUGUCCAGGCUCUAUGAACCCCUCAGGUUGGUCCAUAUAAAUUUCCUCAUCUAAGUCACCAUUCAGAAAGACAGUCUUUACAUCCAUCUGAUGAAUUUGUAAGUCAUGAAUUGCAGCAAUAGCAAUCAAAACUUUGAUGGAUGUCACUCUUGUCAUCGGAGAAAAGGUAUCAAAGAAGUCUAAAUCUUCUUUUUGUUUAUAACCUUUUGCGACAAGUCUAGCUUUAUACUUGUCUACACUUCCAUCCGGUUUCAACUUCUUUCUGAGAACCCAUUUACAACCAAUUGUUGUACAGCCUGGAGGUAAAUCCACUAAUUUCCAUGUUUUAUUAGAAAUUAGAGAUUCCAUCUCAUCAAAUACAGCCUCUUUCCAAAAAAUUGAAUCAUUUGAAGAUAAAGCUUCUUGUAAAGAAAGUGGAUUUUCUUCAAUAUUCAUAACAACAUAAUCAGGGCCAAAAUCUUUUUCUAUUCUGUUUCGUUUACUUCUUCUUGGUUCAAAAUAUUUUCUUCUUGAUUUUGCACAAAAGAGUUUGAAGAACUCGGUUUAUUUGAAACACUUUUAAUAUCUUGACCCCCACUAUUUUUCGAUUUAUAAGGAAACUUUUCUUCAUGAAAAAUAGCAUCUCUUGAUUCAAAAAUCACAUUAUUUUCAAUGUCUAAAAAUCUAUAGGCUGUACUGUUUAAAGCAUAUCCAGGAAAUACACAAGUGGCAGCUCUAACACCCAAUUUGGGUCUUUUAGGGUCUGAUAGCCUCACAUAUGCUAGACAACCCCACACUUUAAGAUAUCCCAAAUUUGGCUUAUACCCUUUCCACAAUUCAAAGGGUGUCACCUUAGACUUCUUAUAUGGCACGCGAUUCAAGACAUAACAUGCAGUUAAAAUGGCUUCGCCCCAAAAAUUUAAGAGUACACCAGUGUCAACCAUCAUAGCAUUUGUUAGCUCAAUAAGUAUUCUAUUUUUUCUCUCAGCCACUCUAUUAGAGGCAGGUGAAUAUGGAGCAGUAGUCUCAUGGAUAAUUCCUAAAGACUGAGCAAAAAAGUUGAACCCCGUAGAUUCAUACUCACGACCUCGAUCACUUCUAAUUCUUUUUAUCUUUUUACCGAAUUGGUUUUCUACUUCACAGAGGAAAUCUUUAAAUUUUUCAAAAGCAUCACUUUUAUUUUUUAAUAAAUAAACAUAAGUAUAUUUAGAAAAAUCAUCGAUAAAAGUGAUAAAAUAUCUAUUUUCUCCACGAGUUAGAUUACCUUCAAAUUCACAAAUAUCACUGUGAAUUAGCUCAAGUAAUUCGGUACUUCUUUCAAUUCUCUUAUGAGGUCGUUUAGUGAUUUUUGACUUACUACAUGUUUCACAUUUGUCAAAAUCACUAUUCAGUCUGGGAAUUAAUCCUAAACUAUCUAUAAGCUAACAUAUCUGCUGCUUGAUAUGAACACAAUACGAGCAUGGCCAAAAUUUACAGAGAAGACUUCGUAAGCAGAAGUAGAUGAGCUUUAUUUAUGCAUGUUAGUAUUUGACAUUCCGUCGAUGCAUACACUUUAUCCUACAAACUUUUUUCAUUCUUCGAAUCACAUUAUGAUCAAACUCAUGGUCUGUUUAAGUAGCUUUAUAAGAAGAAAAUUGACAUCAAGGUUCUUCCUAACAAGGGUGUAUGUAAUACAUCUUUCAUUAUAAAGACCCUUCAGAAGCAAAAUCUUUAAUCUCAAACUCGCCUCCCUAAACUUAGAAGUAUGCAAAUCACAAGCAUAAUUACUUUUGUUUGUUCUAGGUUAGUAUAUGAUUUAACCAAGUCUCUAUCAUGACAGAUCAUGCCUUAUUGGCACUAGAGUCUGCCCACCAUCCUUCAGCCACGCUCAAUAAGAUAUGUCGGUUAUCAUCCACAAAGUGGAUCCUCGACAUUAGCUUAAGGUAACAGUUUUAUGUUUCCGGUAUUUGCAAAUUCGGAGCAAUAGUGCUGUAAGGACUGAGAUUUUUGCCGUUGUCACGCUUAAACUCUCAGUUACGAGGUUUUUGUGUGCAAUUUAAUUACAAAAGUACUCGUCAAGUUUCGAGAGAAAUCGAAGUUAAAAUGGGAUUCUCUUACGCGAUUCCAAGUUUCACUUAAAGGUGAAUAGUAACUCGAUUUUCCGUGAGAAGCCACGGUUGAAGUUGGCUUCAGGCUUAUAUCGGACUCCGUUCCUAGCGGUCCAAUAGCUCGUUUCGGAACGAUUCAGCUGUUCUGGAAUAAUGCGCUAGAUUUUGAGUUGGAAUGCCACGAAUUUCGAGAAAAUCUAAAAAAAUACAUGUUUUAUAUGUAUUUUGUGUCUAUUAUUCUGUUUGGAAUGAAAGGUUGGAUUUCGUCCGAAUCCGGGUGAGUCGAUCGAGGUUGAACCAAAUCGUAGCUUUGUUGUCUCUGAGGUGCUGAUCCAUGGUGGCAAUCCGGUUCGCAAAUUGACGGACGGAAUGUACGGAGAUCGCACGUGAUCGAGGAGAGGGUCGUGUUGGCAAAACGGUGAAUUUCGCAACAAGUCGCGAUUAUUUGUUAUGGUGUACGUUUCGCGGUGAAGAUCGCACGUGGAGAAUCUUCAUGGUUUUACUCAUGCUUGAGGGGACAGAAUCAAAUAUGAGUUUGAGGGUUUUCGCAAUUUGCACAUUAUACUAUAUUUUUAUCUAGGGUUUUGCAAUGGGAAAACCCUAACCCUAGACUUAGCCGCAACCCUACACUCAAUCGACUCCCUGCCCCUGCUGGCGCGGCGCCCAGGCGCGCCGAUGGGUACGGCGGCCACCGGCCGCCGGAGCACCUUCCUUUUCUCUCCCUCUUUUCUCUCGUCUCUCUCUCUCUCGCGGUUGUGAGAGCCUUGAAGACUGCCGCCACUCCAGACCCUUCCGCCGGUUGUCGGCCCGCUGCCCGGCGAGCCAUUCCCCGCCGCACCGCCAGCCGUGGCUAGCGACCGCCGGCUGCAGCCAGGAUGGCGCUGCUGCUGGGACAAGGGCUCCGCCGAGCGGAGUGAGCAGCAAGUUGGUCGCGCGCCUUGCCGCCGCCUGAGACUGUCCGCGCCUUCCCGGAGCCAGGUGACUCCCCGUCGCUGUCGCCGUCGCGAGGCGCCGCGCUGCCGCCAGCUGCUGACUUGCUGCCAAUGAAGGGAACUCGGCCCGAGCGAGUUGCAACUAGCUUCCCACCGCCGGACGCCGGCGCUCGCAGCCGCAGCGCAGCCGCAGGCACCCGAGGCACCCCUUCGGGCUUCAAGCGAUCCUCGCUGCGCCGUCUCGGAGUCCCAGGCGCCGCCCGUGGCCGCGAGGCUGCCUUGGAACACCGAGCCGACCUGAGUGCGGGCUUGGGUUGCUUCCACCGCCUGCCGCCGCGCUUCAGCCGCCUAACUGGGUGGCAUCGUGUUCCUACCUCCUCCGCACCCACCUGGCCCCGCGGCCGUCGCAUGCCGCCGGAGCCCGGCCGGAGCAGCUUGCUCCGGCCAAAGCCCGAAAUAGGGCUUAAGUUGAUGUGUUAUUGUUUCUUGAGCUUCCUGAGCUCCCGAUCUGUCGAAAGGGAGAAUGAUGAUUGUAGCAAAUUGAUAAUCAUCGUGUUACCUUUAGUCUCUGGGGGAGACUCCGAUGCCGAUAUUUCGCGGUGUCGGACCCUGUCGACGCCGUGUUUGGUGUUUGUUUGGAGACUUGCUCACGUUAUCCGGCGAUCGAGGCUGUGUUCUUGAUUGCCUCCAGGUGAGCACAGCGUGUCGUUGGUCUGUGCCGAUUCACCAUUGCUCACCUUACUUUGGGAGACAUGGUCGGAUCAGCCCUGUUUGGCGUGAUCUUCCCUCGACUGCGCGCUUGUUCGCAGAACUUCGGGUUGCCGCCCGCGUUGCCCACAGCGACUGUUGCCGUCCGAACAUUGAGCACGGCGCCCGGCACAUCGAGACGCCUGUCCAGUACAGUGUUCCGGCGGAACUUAGAGGUCCUCAGUUUGUGUUGGAAGAACGGAGUCAUAAGGAGUCGCACCGAUUUACAUAAAAUGAUGGAUUUUAUGAUAACAUAGGGGCUUUUGUGCCAAUUGUACACCUUGUGCCUACUGUGGACAGAUGUGUAUGAGUGUGUUUGACCUCUGGACUGUUGCCAUGAUCCGUUGCUUUUGCGAAAAUCAAAGAUGGUCAAUUUCGGUGUGUUAUUCGGCGAAGUUCGCGAAAGAACGCGGUUUCGGUUCGGAUUCUCUGACGUGUAUGUUGUUUGUGUUGGCUGUCUGCUCGCUGAGCUUGUGGUGGCUAGUCACCAUCAUCUAUUUUGUGGGAUGGUUCAGGUGAUGUAUGGGUGUAGCCGACGGUGGGUUCGGUGUCGAAAUUAGACACUUUCGGAACUGCGCGAUUCGAUACAAUUAUCCGGGCGAUAAUUGUGUAGUGUGUUAUCUUGUGUUUGCAUGCCAAAAUCCAAAUUGGAGUGUUUUGGAAGACAGGCGAUGUGAACACGAGUCGGUGUGAGUUUCGGGAAUUAGUGGUGCCCGACGCGUCCCGGUGCUGGUUUUUCGGAUUUCGGUGAGUUACGGUUAAUCGGUAUGUGGGAAACCGCAUCUUCUUAUGAAAUUGUUGUGUGGGGGUUGUGAAUACUGUGAUAUUAGUUGUGGGUUAGAUAUAACCCGGUGGCCCUCUAUAGUCUUGUCGACAUUCUUUUGCAGUCAGAAUGAUAGAACGCGACAUCGUUACAGCGUGCGGUACUUGACCGACGUCGGUACAGUGCCGUGGCACGCUUGGUGCAUGGUUUCUUCCUUACUCUUCAUCGUUGUUACGUAUCGCAUAGUAUAUUGAGCCUUGCACCUUGUUAUAUUCGUGUAUACUCUACUCGUUGUUUGCCACAUGCUUCAUAUCCUGCAGUAGCGAGUAGUAGUGAGUUCUAUCGAAAUGCGUAUCUGUUGACCUAGUUAGUUGGUUGUUGCAUUGCGUAUCUUUGACUGGUUGGUCGGUUCUCUAACUUGUUUCGGUGACCUGAGUUGCGUCGGUUUCGUACAUCAUUCGAUGACCGUUGAGGGUCGGAUAUACCCUAAGGGGGGUUGGAUUGUCGCGUUGCAGACGGAGAUUAGUGUUUACACAGUUCCACUAUUUGGAUCAUAUUGGACUAGUAGUCAGCAUUCGGAUGGAGUCUGGCGUUGAUGACCUAUGAGGAUCGUCUACCUGAAGGGGCUUGGAUUGUGCGGCUAGUGGCCGACGGUAAUUCAGGAUUCUAUUGAUAUACUCUGGUGGACCUAUUCGUCGUUCGUCGUGAAUAUGUGGUUAGUUGACUUUAGUAGUCAAUGCUUGUAUACCUUGGUAGCGAUGUUGAGUUGUUCCUCUUAGUUGGGACCUGGAUAGUCGUUUCUUGUGCUUUGUAUAGUUUGAUGAACCUAUUGGUCGGUGUUUUGCCCGAGCGGGCGGUGGUUGUGCGGCUGGUUUGCCGAAUUUGGCUAUUGUUCAUAUCCGCAUGUGAUCGCCACGCUCGAUGGUGCAUUUCAGUGACCAACCAGCGGGUGAUCCCCCGCAGGGGGGUGUUCCUUUUCCGGAAAAUGUGGUCGUACAUCCGACCGUGAGCCAGCGGUGUGCUCUUUGUGCUAGGGUUAAUGCAGGGGCGAGCAAGGUGUGCUUUUGCCUGAGCGUCCUUAGACCGAACACGGCGGUUUAGAUUGGGUAUUUGGACUACUUGUCGGUUGACGCAUAUACUAUAGUAGCAGUGCGUCACUUGUAUAUCUUCAGUUCUAUUUCGUUAAUUGUUGUACUAUAGAUCUUGUUACAUGUUACAUUCAGUUUGUUCAUUACAGGUAGCGUAGUUGUAUCUUUCUAUAUAUGUCUAUUCAUUCAUAUUAUUGCUACUGUAUUUUUACUGACCGAUAUGUUGUUUUAGCUUCUUCCUGUAUCCGGUGAGUACUCCUCGCCUUCAUAGAGCUUGCGGUACCCACUGUGCGAGAGGAGACAUGUUUACAUGUUCUCACAUCCCCCACCAUUUUUUCAGUUUACAGGCGAUGAGAAUGUUUGGGACGAGAGUGAGUACGUUCGUAGCGGGUCGGAUAGGAGCUUCCGACCAGCCUGUUAUUAUUUUAGUUUUAUCCUUAUAUUCUGUUGUAUAGCUUAUAUGUUUAUAUGUUUUCAGUUAGGAUGAUCAUUACUUGAUGUUUGAAUAUUGUGAGCUGGUUGAAUUGUGGAUUUUGUGGAAUUAUGGAAUUUGGUUUAUUGGAUCUUCAGUUUUGGGAUGUUGUUAUACUUUGGUUCUCGAAUUUGUAUUUAUCGGAGUGUACGCAUCGUGGUUUUCGUACCCCUCGGUAGUCGGUUUUCAAAAUAGAGUUUCUGUGUGGAAACAGUUUUCAAAAGAUUUUGUAAUGAUUUUCAUGUAUGAAUGAAUUAGAUUUUAAAAAGCAAAAAAGUUUCUGUUGUGGGUGAGCUUUAAAUUAGGAUGAUUGUUGUCUGCUGAUUUCAUCAAUCCAAACGCGUCUAAGGAGUGUUUAGAGCAUGCAUCAUUCUCUAAGGAUUGUUAGCCUGUAUGAAAAAUUGCCAUAACAUGAAUUGGUUGCUGAUUGGUAAAUGUAGGUUGUGGUUGUCGAUCCUUGUAUCCGUUGGUACGCGUGCAAAUACAAAGGGAGACUCUGUCCGAGGUGAACAGGAUGUGAACUUUGUAUUUGUGGCGGGUCUGUACUGUUCACGUGGCCAGGUUGGGAAAAAAAAAAAUGCACAUUUCGGACUCUGCAGAUUUCAAAAUGGUAAUGGCUUUUAAAAUCCAGUUCCCGGGGGUGAAGUAUUAAGAUGGAUCAGAGAGUGAACAAACUACCACCUGCAUUUGUACAAAGUUUUCAAACUGAAUUUGUUAGUUAUGAUACGCCGGGAUAUCAGCGGGAAGGCAUAUCGGUAUCGAUGCACAAGACCGCCAUACACCUGCGGUAUAUAAGGCGGUCUACAAGAAACAAGUCGAUAGGUGGAGCAAAAAAAUAACCUAUACCUAUCCUAAUAUCAGAGCAUAGUAAAAUCACAAAGACUUAUCAAACAAAAGACGAGAGUGUUCAGCAAAUAUAGUGUCAAAAGGAAGUAUAAAAAUGCCACAUCUGGAUCAAAUAAAUAGUAACAAAAGGUUAUACGAAAACAGUCUGCUACAAUGCGUAGCUCUCGAUAAAACUGGCCAUCACCUCGGCUGUAACCCGAGUAGCAAGGUGAUCGACUAGGCACGCUCCCAGCAAUGUCUAGCUAGACGUGACUUCCUUGCCCGGUCCCUAGCCUCUCUGUAGUGGCUCUCUGUAAAACACCACAAAAAGGGUGUGAGAACUAUAAACAAUAGUUCCAGAUGGCCGUAAGCGCCAGCCUCGGCGAACUACACCAUAGGCCACUCAUGAUUGUACUAAAUGAAAGCAAAGCAGUAAUUGAUGAUAUAUAAUUAGGCAAUGCUAACAGUAAUGAGAUGUAAGCAACUAUGUAAUCAUAGUCUCAAACAGGUAAUGAAUCAAACUGGAAUAAUAGAAGCAUAGGCAAUAUGAUAGCAUGAACAUAAAAUAAAUGUUAAGUAAACUACUAUACACUGUAACUGGUAAUCUUCAUUACUGUCAAUUUUCUUUAGCACUUUCUUUCAUUCUAAAGAAUCUUCCAAGGUGUCCAACUUUUGCGUCCGCCGCUUUUUUAAUGGGCCCGUGGUUAGUAUACAACUCACGGCAAUCCACUUCGGCACCCAAUCCCGCACUGGGCGACAAUGUCGGCGUAGGCAACUGAGGCGGCUUUAGGAGGACUCACAAGCGUGUGCGAGAUGAGCACAAUGGCAACAAGCAAUCCACAGUCCACAUGUCUCAUCAUCACGUUUUCCAAUUGCAAAGUUCUUCGAUCUUUGAUCGCGAAUUCUCAAUAUAAUAAAUAUUGGCAAUGACUAGAUUCACUAGAUUACUAAGCUUUUAAGAGUAAUGCUAAUUUACAAUAUGGAUUAGAUCUUUCAUUACAUGGCACUUCAACAUAGUGCAGAAGCUUGUCAUUGUUGUUACUUUACAAUUCAAUCAACGGUCAGACAAAUGUCAUUGUUCUCUAACCUAUUACAGGAACAUGAAAUAAAUUAUCUCUCGGUUGUUUAAUGAACUAAACAAGGAAUUACCUCUAUGCAUAAAUGUUCCCUCUUUUAUAGCAGUUUAUUUCAUAUCAUAUAGCCAACAUGAUGAAUGUUUCGAGUUCUAUAUUAAACCACGCAUUACACACAGUAUAUUGAUUCUAUAAUACAUUAUAGAACAUAGGGGAGCUUCACUUUGCUUAGUUAGGUCAAACCCAACGUAUCACUACUCAAACGCCAAAGAUGCUCCCAAACUCAGCUCAAACGGGUCCCUGGACCUGCUGAAAUUCAAAACAUCAAACCGCGUCGGAACGUUACUUAGUAAUCUAAUUUCAGCUCUAUGGCGCAUAGUUACAAGCUAAUAAGCUUUAAUCCCGGUUGGCUAUUUAAUACCUCAAGUCGAGUCUUCAAAGCUUCCGGUCAGCUAAAAUCACUCUUAAGAGUCGAAUCACACUCCGGUGCCGAAAACAACGUUAAAACGGCAUUAGAAUUUGCUUGUAUGCAAGCUUCUAUUAGUCGAAUUCUUGUAAUUUCAGCUCUAACAGAAAUUUUUCUUACGAAGAUGGAAACCUUCCAAGCUAAGCCCCUGGUCACCAAAAUAGUCCCAGUGGUUCCAAGAACUGCUGCGAAGGAAACAAGUUCAAACUGAUCACUUCGCUCAAUAAUCCACGUAUAGCUUCGCAUUAGAGUCAACUUCCAUAAUUAUCGAUUUUUAGCUUUAAAGCCAAUUUAACCUAGUCUAGAUGGUUAAUUUCACCAGCAAUUACUUAACAUCUAGCAUGCUUGGAAUCUCUGUCUUAACACAGCUGCCAAGUAAAUCCUGAAAUCGAUACUUAAAUCGACCAAUAUAUCUUCAGUCGUACGGAAACGUGAGCACAUUACUUCUCAGGCUUCCAACCGCAACCUACUGUUCAGGGUUACGAAAGCCGUUCCCGCAAACACUCUCUCACGAUCAUAAAAGGUCAGCGACACCUGCAACCCCGAAGAACGAUGCCGAGGCCGACGAAAAAUAAACGAUAAGUUCGCGAUUUCUUCGCUAGAGAGAGAAACCCCUAGUAGAGAGAGAGAAGGAUGGUGAAUUAACACCCCUCUUGAGAUUCGCAGCAUCCUACUGAGCUCCUGGGGUCUGCUGGGUGUGGGGAUAAUAUGGGAGUGUGAAAGACAAACAGCUUGCUGCACGCAGCUGCGCGGCUUCUGCUUGCUUGCUGUACCGGUAAGCAUUAGGCUGUACCGGUUACACCAAGGUGCAGAAAUUGCAGAUUUCGUAUAUAGCAAUGCACUUUCUCCUCUCCGGCAAUCCGAUUCACUCUCUAACUUGUCCAAAACGUGUCCAAGCCUUUUAGGACAUGAUUAGGAUAGUUCCACAACUCAUGCCACGCACUCGAACUCCGCAAUUUGCAAAAGUUCAGUGUAUUACAUUCACCCCUCCUAAAAAGGAGUUUCGUCCGCGAAACGAAAACAGUUACAUCAAAAUAUCUUCAAAAUAGGUGAGGAUAGUGUUCCUGCAUUACACUUUCCAAUUCCCAAGUUGCUUCGCGUUCAUCAUGAUUGCUCCAAAGUAUCUUUACGUACGGUAUCUCGCGAUUUCGAAGCCGUUUCACUUCUCGAGCUAGUAUUCUCACUGGAUGUUCUUCGAAGCUCAAAUCUUCCUGUAAAUCCACUGGAGUACUCUCCAAUAUGUGAGUUGGAUCAAAAACAUAUUUCCGGAGCGUAGAUACAUGAAAUACAUUAUGUACUCCUGAUAGAUUCGGCGGCAACGCAAGCUGAUAUGCUACGGGGCCUAUUCGUUCCAACACCUCGUAGGGUCCAAUAAAUCGAGGACUUAACUUCCCUCGAAUACCAAAUCUCUUAACCCCUUUCGUCGGUGAAACUUUCAGAAAUACAUGAUCGCCAACCUGAAAUUCCAAUUCUCGCCGACGUUUGUCCGCAUAACUCUUUUGUCGACUUUGAGCUGUCAGUAGUCGUUCUCGCGCAAGUCGAACUUUAGCUUCAGCCUCUUGUAAUACAUCUGGACCCAAGACUAAUCUUUCACCCACUUCACUCCAAUGAAGUGGUGAUCUGCACUUUCUACCAUAAAGGGCUUCAAAAGGUGCCAUCUGAAUACUUGCUUGAUAACUAUUGUUAUAAGCAAAUUCAGCCAUUGGUAAGAACUAUGGCCAACUGCCCUGGUAAUCAAUCACACAGGCCCUCAACAUAUCUUCAAGGGUCUAGAUGGUACGCUCAGACUGCCCAUCACUCUCGGGGUGGAAAGCAGUGCUAAAAUCCAAUCGAGUACCCAAAGCCUCCUGUAAACUCCUCCAGAAAUGUGAAACAAAUCGGGUGUCCCGAUCAGAAACAAUAGAAACAGGAACUCCGUAUAAUCGCACAACUUCAUCAAGAUACACUUGUGCAAGUCUUUCCCCCGACCACACGGUAUGAAUUGGAAUAAAGUGGGCAGAUUUAGUCAAUCUAUCCACAAUUACCCAAAUUGCAUCAUGUCCUGCCUGUGAGCGAGGUAAUCCAACAAUAAAAUCCAUUGUAAUCCUCUCCCACUUCCACACUGGUAUGGGUAAGCUUUGAAGUUCUCCCGCAGGAAGUCGAUGCUCAGCUUUAACCUGCUGACAGGUUAAGCAUCUGGCCACAAAAUUUCCAACUUUCUUUUUCAUUCCAGGCCACCAGUAAGUUGCCUUUAGAUCUUUAUACAUUUUUGUACUCCCGGGGUGUAAAGUAUACGGUGCCCGAUGUGCUUCAAUUAGAAUCUCCUCUUUAAUAUCUGGAUUUGCUGGUACACAAAGCCUAUCGCCGAAUUUUAUCAAUCCCUGAUCAUCCACUCGAAAAUCACCACUAUCAUGAUCAGCAGGGAUCUUUGCUCGAAUCUUUUGCAGAGACUUAUCUUGAGCUUGCUUUUCUUUAAUUCGAUCGAUUAGGGUAGGCUGCACUACUAAUGACAUAAGUCUCCAAGGCGUGUCAGGAGCUACAAUUUUCAAAUUCAACUGUUCCAUUUCCUUCAUUAACAGUGGUUGCAUCGUUAUCGACAUCGCCAAAUUUUUCGUUGAUUUUCGACUUAAAACAUCUGCUACAACAUUAGCUUUUCCUGGAUGAUAGAGGAUGGUCAAAUCAUAAUCCUUGAGCAACUCCAACCAUCUACGUUGUCUCAAGUUUAAUUCCUUCUGUGUAAACAGAUACUUCAAGCUUUUAUGAUCAGUGUAGACUUCACAACGCUCGCCGUAGAGGUAGUGGCGCCAAAGCUUUAAAGCAAAUACCACAGCUGCUAACUCAAGAUCAUGUGUAGGGUAGUUCUUUUCAUAAUCUUUCAAUUGGCGAGACGCAUAAGCAAUUACUCUGCCGUUCUGCAUUAGAACACACCCUAAUCCAUUCAGCGACGCAUCACUGUAAAUCACAUAAUCCACUCCAGUAACAGGCAGUGCUAGAAUCGGGGCAGUAGUCAACCGUUCCUUUAGCUCUUGAAAGCUUCUUUCGCAGGCUUCAUUCCACAGAAAUUUAGCUCCUUUAUGAGUCAAUCGAGUGAGAGGAGUAGACAUCUUUGCAAAUCCUUCUACAAAUCUUCGAUAGUAUCCUGCGAAACCAAGGAAACUCCGAAUUUCUGUGACACUAGUCGGCCUAGGCCAAUCUUUAAUCGCUUCAAUCUUCUUGGGAUCGACAGCUAUCCCAGCCUCUGAAAUGACAUGGCCCAGAAAUGCUACUUCUCGAAGCCAAAAUUCACAUUUCUUUAACUUUGCAAACAAUUUCUUUUUGCGAAGUACUUGCAACACCGUUCCCAAAUGACUUUCAUGCUCCUCGUCGCUUCGAGAGUAGAUCAGAAUAUCGUCGAUAAACACAACCACAAAUCUGUCCAAAUAUGGCUUGAAGACACGGUUCAUUAAAUCCAUAAAGGCUGCUGGGGCAUUUGUCAAUCCAAAUGGCAUCACUGUAAAUUCAUAAUGCCCAUACCGUGUCCUAAAAGCGGUCUUGGAAACCUCUUCAGGCUUGAUCUUAAGCUGAUGAUAACCUGAUUGUAAAUCAAUCUUAGAAUAUACUUUCGAUCCUUGCAGCUGAUCGAAUAAAUCAUCAAUUCGGGGUAAUGGAUAUUUGUUCUUGAUUGUGACUUUAUUAAUUUCUCGAUAAUCCACACACAAUCGAAGAGAUCUAUCCUUUUUCUUAACAAAUAACACCGGUGCUCCCCAAGGAGAUACACUCGGUCGAAUGAAACCCUUAUCCAAUAAAUCCUGCAACUGUGCCUUCAGCUCUUUCAACUCAGCGGGUGCCAUCCUAUAGGGUGCUUUCGAAAUAGGAGUUGUCCCAGGGACAAGAUCAAUCACAAAUUCAACUUCCCUAUCAGGUGGCAUACCCGGCAACUCAGCUGGAAACACAUCCCCGAACUCUCGCACAACUAGAAUAUCAUCAAUCUUGAUGGCUUCACCAUCACUCACAGAAAUGCUAGCCAGAUAGGCUACACAGCCCCUCCGAAUCAACUGUCGUGCUCGCGAAGAAUUAAUAGUCAUUGCGAAUAAUGAACUCUGACACCCCCUAUAAACAAACUCCUGUUGGCCCGGUUCCCUAAAGGUCACCGUUCUGUUCGUGCAAUUUAUGGUGGCAUAAUACUGAGUCAACCAAUCCAUACCCAAUACUACAUCAAACUCCCCAAGUUUGUGUAGUGCCAAAAGAUCUACUGGCAUAAUCCAGUCGCCUACCCUAAUUAGGCAGCGAGGGCAAAACUCACGAACAUCAAGGGUAUGGUGAGGUACAAUCACUCGUCCAGGAUGCAAAGUAGGUACUACCUGAAUGCUAUGCAACUCGGCGAACUGCCGAUCAAUAAAAGAAUGCGAAGCACCAGUAUCAAAUAAUGCACGAACAUGAAUAUCAUAAAGCAUAAUGAUACCUGCUACGACCUCCUCCGCUGCUGCGGCCUCCUCUGUCUGGGCGGCAUACAUGCGCCCACUCGAACCCUGUCGAGAACUCUCAGACUGUCGCUGUCCCGGUGGUCGUCUGUACUGCGAGGGUGCUGACGGGGUCCCCUGGCUCGGAGCUGAAGAUGCAGGGGCUGAUGCCGAUGAGGGUGCAGGUGAAGAACCUCUCGGGCACUCUGAACGAAAGUGGCCCUCCUGACCACAAAGGAAGCACCUGCCCCCACGUUGUGGACACUGUGGUGGAAAGUGAGGCCCACCACAAAUGACACAACGUGGCUGUCGACGACGCUCGGGUGCUCCACGGGGUGCUGAGGAACCUCGACCUCUCGACUGACCCGGCUGGCCCCUAGGAUAUUUCGGUGGUCUCCUGAAAGGUUGCUGACCACAGCUCUCUGCUGUUGGCCUCUUUCCUUUACUCCGAUCCACAAUAUCUCUUUCUUUCAUAAUCUCCGCCCCCUUUUCUACAAUCAAGGCCCGGUGUACCACCUCUCUAUACGUCGAUAGGUUUGACGCCUGGACUAGUCUGAAAAUCGCAGGUCGCAAACCUGCCUCAAAAAUCCGAGCCUUGUCUUCAUCAUCUCUGACCACAAAAGGAACACAGUGCAGCAAUCGGGAAAACUCUCGCUCAAACUCUGCUACUGUCCUGUCCCCCUGUCUCAGAUUUCUCAAAUCCCUUUCCAUCUGCCUCUUCACACUCUGUGGAAAAUAAGUCGCCAACAAUAAUUCCUUGAACCUGUUCCACGUAAUAGUGGACAAAUCAGUACGGGGAUCCUCACGAAUGUCCACCCACCACCUGUAAGCCUCGCCGUCAAGGUGGUGUGUCGCAAACCAAACUCGAUAUCGCUUCUCGACAAAUGUAUCAUAGAAUAACUUCUCCAUGUGCAUUAACCAUUUCUCGACCACCCAGUGAUCUGCUUUCUCCCCAUCAAAGAUACGAGGGGUGCAACGACGGAAUUCAUUCAAUUGUUCCAUCAUCCGCUCUCGCUCCUCAGCCCCUACUAUCUCUGGUAACACUGUCCUUGAUGCCGCUACAGGUACUGGUGGUGGUACUACUGUCUCCUGUCGGGUCUCCGCCCUCGGAGCUACUAGGGGUAUGUCAAGUACAGGUGACUGUGCUCUUAUUGUCGCAUCCCUGUCUGGUACUGUAGGUAUAGAAUCAGGAAUCUCUCUGUCUGUCGUCUGCCGCAGUAGUAAAUCCUCUAACCUCUUCAUUCUAUCCUCCUGUCGACGCGCAGCGUCCAUCUGCUGUCGCGCGGCCGCAGCCUGCUGAGCAACCAAAUCUGUCAGCUUCGCGAGCUGAUCCUGCAACUC
This 39936-nucleotide long non-coding RNA is filed under the name Ananas comosus (pineapple). RNAcentral describes it as "long non-coding RNA (ACOM_LNC042046)". The record is from RNAcentral. Lineage: Eukaryota; Viridiplantae; Streptophyta; Magnoliopsida; Poales; Bromeliaceae.